GUGGGAACUCUAAGGAGACUGCCGGUGACAAACCGGAGGAAGGUGGGGACGACGUCAAGUCAUCAUGGCCCUUACGAGUUGGGCUACACACGUGCUACAAUGGGUGAGACAAUGAGAUGCAAAUCUGCGAAGACAAGCUAAUCUAUAAACUCUCUCUAAGUUCGGAUUGUAGGCUGCAACUCGCCUGCAUGAAGUUGGAAUCGCUAGUAAUCGCUGGUCAGCUAUACAGCGGUGAAUUCGUUCCCGGGCCUUGUACACACCGCCCGUCACACCAUGGAAGCUGGUUAUACCCGAAGUCGUUACUCUAACCAUUUGGAGGAGGAUGCCUAAGGUAGAAUUAGUGACUAGGGUGAAGUCGUAACAAGGUAACCGUACUGGAAGGUGCGGUUGGAUCACCUCCUU
Molecule: ribosomal RNA, 402 nt
Filed under: Pseudo-nitzschia pungens
Lineage: Eukaryota; Bacillariophyta; Bacillariophyceae; Bacillariales; Bacillariaceae
Description: partial Bacterial small subunit ribosomal RNA
Rfam family: Bacterial small subunit ribosomal RNA
Source: RNAcentral